GAUGAACGCUGGCGGCGUGCCUAAUACAUGCAAGUCGAGCGAACAGACGAGGAGCUUGCUCCUCUGACGUUAGCGGCGGACGGGUGAGUAACACGUGGAUAACCUACCUAUAAGACUGGGAUAACUUUGGGAAACCGGAGCUAAUACCGGAUAAUAUAUUGAACCGCAUGGUUCAAUAGUGAAAGACGGUUUUGCUGUCACUUAUAGAUGGAUCCGCGCCGCAUUAGCUAGUUGGUAAGGUAACGGCUUACCAAGGCGACGAUGCGUAGCCGACCUGAGAGGGUGAUCGGCCACACUGGAACUGAGACACGGUCCCGACUCCUACCGGAGGCAGCAGUAGGGAAUCUUCCGCAAUGGGGGAAAGCCUUACGGAGCAACGCCGCGUGAGUGAUGAAGGUCUUCGGAUCGUAAAACUCUGUUAUUAGGGAAGAACAAAUGUGUAAGUAACUAUGCACGUCUUGACGGUACCUAAUCAGAAAGCCACGGCUAACUACGUG
Molecule: ribosomal RNA, 497 nt
Filed under: uncultured bacterium
Lineage: Bacteria
Description: partial 16S ribosomal RNA
Rfam family: Bacterial small subunit ribosomal RNA
Source: RNAcentral